ACCUCCAUCCUGCACUGCAGCUCAGCAGGGCACGGGCAGUUCCCUUCCUUCAGUCCUGGAUACAUCAGAAGGUGAUGAAGAAAGAGUUUUUCCAGUGAAAUACAAAUGAACAAGCUCCUACUGCUCUGAACAGCAACAAGGUGACUGGUUGCUAGCCUGUAAAAUCUGGUGUUGUCCCUCCUGGAGUCAGAGUUUGACCUUAAGAAAAUUCCUGCCAGUUUCUCCGAGGGAACAUGUCCCUGUGCUGCUGCAGAAGCCUGUUUGCCACAGGGAGACAGGCAGAACAACGUGCUCAGGAGGAGAUCUCUGGAUCACGAAGAUGUCACCCGAGGAGCAGGUUGCCACCAGUUUCUGCUCAGCACCCAUUUUCACUGCACGGUGACAAUAACGCGGAGCAGCAGGAGCGAGGACUGGCUGCCCUGGGCUUGUCUACAGGCUGGGAAACACAUGCUGCUGUGCUCCAAGCUGGAGAAAGGAACAGAGAGGACUUCCAAAAACAUCACCUGAGCAGGGAUGGAGGGACAGAUGGACACACAGCUCUGCCUCACCUUUCUGCAGCCACCUUCUGAAAAAAAAGUGUGGAAAGAAGAGCCAAAAACCACCCUUUCCACUCUGAGGGACACUGACCAGCAAAUGGAAGGAGGGAUGAGCAGCACCAUGUGGGAAAGGAUGUCAGAAGACUGGCCAAAACCAGCCAAAGCCCCAACCUGUUUGUGGUUUCACCCUGGUUAAUACAGGAUGAUGCCUUGUUCCUGUAGCCACAGCCAAGGGAGCACAGAGAUAAGAGCAGGGCUUGAGAACGGAUCCGAAGAGCCAUAAAAAUCACAAGCACAGAAGAGAGAAAAUCUCCAUUAGAGCAUAAUUACAACUCAGUUGCUGCCCAGGGGCUUUGCAGCCCGAGUCGCUGGAGAUGGCCCUGCUCUCUCCUGGGAGCUCCCUGGAUCUGCUGGAGCUUUGAAGCAAGAGUGAAGGAGUCUGAGCCAACUGCUCGACACGGAAGCAGAGAUAAUUCCCUGGAUGAGGGUGAUGAGAGGAGUUUCAGCCCAACAAGGGAUUUCUGGGGAGCCUGCCUGGGGAAGGAAGCACAGAGCAGGCAGUUCCCGACCCAGCAUCCUUCGGUCCAGCUCUGCUCGCUCAGCAGGAGAUCCUUCUUAGACCCUUCUGGAAAGACACCGAUACCAGGGGCUCCGUGGUGAGGACCUGUCAGGUGUGUGGGUGAG
This is a long non-coding RNA of Apus apus (common swift), 1220 nucleotides long. RefSeq lists it as uncharacterized. Lineage: Eukaryota; Metazoa; Chordata; Aves; Apodiformes; Apodidae. The transcript has 6 exons. The record is from RefSeq and is a predicted model, not a curated record.